RNAcentral lists this long non-coding RNA (1048 nucleotides) under Papio anubis (olive baboon). Its description in RNAcentral is "lncRNA (ENSPANG00000045264.1)". The record is from RNAcentral. Lineage: Eukaryota; Metazoa; Chordata; Mammalia; Primates; Cercopithecidae.
AAGUCCUCGGCCUGGGGGGUGGUGACAGCCUGGAGAUCUACCUGUGUUGCGGCUGCCCAAGACCACGCUUCUGUCCAUAAGUUCCCCAAUAAAUCAUCCUCUACCGGCAAACUGGAUUUGCCUGUCUGUACUUUGGUUUUCGGGCUCCUUCUGCAUUUGGCGUCAGUCUGUGUAUAUGACCCUUUCUCGAAACAUUCCCCAUCCUCACUGGAAGCUACCUCCUUUCUCCUAUUUUAUGUAAUUUCUUUUGGCUGAAAUAAGUAAGCCACAAACAAUGGGAAAUCUGUUUUUUUUUUUUUUUUUUUUUCUCCCCCCCAAAAUACACUGAAAUCCCUUGGUGGACGCGCAUGGGUAGAUAGAGGAGCAACAUCCUGUAGUCAGUAUUUGGGGCAGCAUUUCACCAUGUGAAGUUGUAUUGCUUCAGGGAACACACUUCCUCCAGUGGUGGGUCUGCCUCCCCAGCACGGUUAUGGAGUCACAGCUCCUCAGAGUAGCGAAGAUCUCGAGGGAGUUAAGGGAUGGAGCAGCCCUAGCUCCCUGCUGGGCUGGAGGAGGGCGAGUUCUGCCCUUACGGAGACGCUACGCACAACUGAUGAGGAAUUCUCAGCAUCAUUUGGAGCUCGUCUGGAAUGUGACUCAAGCAUACCCUUUCGAAAGCCUGGUGUUAUGGACUGCCUGUGCGUUCCCCCAAAAUGUAGACAGGCUGGGAUGUCUGAGCCCGCUGCAGGCUCAGGAGGAAGGGCAGAUUCUGGGGAAGAAGGCCCCAGCCGCAGGAGCCAUCCCAGCCGCACAGCCAGACUCCCGUUGUCAGGCUUGGCCCACGUCCGGCCGAUCAGCGCAUGGCUGGAGAACCGCACAUCUGGCUGUGACGGUGGCUGCCUUCCUUUCGUUUCUACUCCAGCAACCCGGCCCCAGGAUCAGCUGCAUGGGAGGUAAAUGGAAACUUUGUGGACAGAGUCCAGUGGUCACCCAGGGCUGGCGACGCUCCUGCCUUUCAGGUGUCCUGGGCACCCGAGCAGCUGUGGGCUACGGCUUAUACUUUCCCUGA